AAUAAUUAAAUUAAGUAAAUAUAUCACUAAAAAUAUAGAAUCCAACCAAUAACCUUACAGCCCCUCUCUCUAAAAAAAACUAGGGUUCACAAUCUAAGUGCUGUGACUGUUUGAAGGCGACGACGACGACGACUUGGUGGCAACGACGACUUGGUGGUGACAGCGACGAAACCUAGCGGGAUCAUUACUCUUAUUGAUGAGGCUUGGCAAGCACCCGGUGGUAGAAACGAUAAUCUAACGUCUUGGUGGCUAUUCUAACACUGUGCAGUUAGUGAUGCCAAAUUUGCCAAGUUUGAGGUGUUAGUCAAGAAGCAUAUGCCGCAAGUAUUUGAGGAUGGGGAAGAUAGUGAAUCAGAUGAUUAGAUUAUAUUGUAGUGGUUGGUUCUUGUUUAUGAUUGUGACAUUUAGACUUAAACUAUUACAAUUGAUUUGUGACGUUUAGACUUGUCUUGAAAUGCUUAAACUAUUUGAUUCCGCUAUUUGUUUUGGAUGUUUCAACAUGGUUGAAUUUUUAAGUUUA
Capsicum annuum is the source of this 520-nucleotide long non-coding RNA. RefSeq lists it as uncharacterized. The record is from RefSeq and is a predicted model, not a curated record. The transcript has 4 exons. Lineage: Eukaryota; Viridiplantae; Streptophyta; Magnoliopsida; Solanales; Solanaceae.